GCGGGUAUGGUUUAGUGGUAGAAUCUCUCCUUGCCAAGGAGGAGGUGCGGGUUCGAUUCCCGCUACCCGCC
RNAcentral lists this transfer RNA (71 nucleotides) under Mesotaenium endlicherianum. Its description in RNAcentral is "tRNA-Gly". It matches the Rfam family "tRNA". From Rfam's summary of the family: Transfer RNA (tRNA) molecules are approximately 80 nucleotides in length. The record is from RNAcentral. Lineage: Eukaryota; Viridiplantae; Streptophyta; Zygnematophyceae; Zygnematales; Mesotaeniaceae.